This 253-nucleotide ribosomal RNA is filed under the name uncultured bacterium. Its description in RNAcentral is "partial 16S ribosomal RNA". It matches the Rfam family "Bacterial small subunit ribosomal RNA", at positions 524 to 776 of the family's 1533-position model. The record is from RNAcentral.
UACGGAGGGUGCGAGCGUUGUUCGGAUUUAUUGGGUUUAAAGGGUGCGUAGGUGGCCCUGUAAGUCAGUGGUGAAAUCCAGCCGCUUAACGGUUGAGGUGCCAUUGAUACUGCAGGGCUUGAAACAAGUGGAGGCUGCCGGAAUGGAUGGUGUAGCGGUGAAAUGCAUAGAUAUCAUGCAGAACACCGAUUGCGAAGGCAGGUGGCUACGUUUGAAUUGACACUGAGGCACGAAAGCAUGGGGAGCAAACAGG